AUGCCUAGCAUGUCUAACGUGUCAUCUUUUUCCUAUAAAAAGGGAUGCCGGCCCUUCUCAAGUUCUCAUUUCUCACACUCAAAAGUCUCAAACUGCAUCUCAUUUUACACACACAAUACAAACAUGGAUGAGAGAGGCUCCAGAAUCUGGGACUACUACGAUGCUGAAGUAGUUAUGGACGGUAGAAAAUCCGAGCUAAAAUCACAGUGCAAAAGAUGUGGUAAGUUGCUGCGCAUUGCCUGCCACGGUCCAGUAAACAUCCUUACUAGGCACAGAGCAGCACACAUCAAGAGAGACGAGCUGGCCGCAGCUGCCGGGCAAGGAUGA
RNAcentral lists this ribosomal RNA (327 nucleotides) under Triticum aestivum (bread wheat). Its description in RNAcentral is "partial small subunit ribosomal RNA". Lineage: Eukaryota; Viridiplantae; Streptophyta; Magnoliopsida; Poales; Poaceae. The record is from RNAcentral.